Molecule: transfer RNA, 86 nt
Filed under: Deltaproteobacteria bacterium RIFCSPLOWO2_02_FULL_50_16
Lineage: Bacteria; Deltaproteobacteria
Description: tRNA-Tyr
Rfam family: tRNA
About the family: Transfer RNA (tRNA) molecules are approximately 80 nucleotides in length.
Source: RNAcentral
GGAGGGAUGCCCGAGAGGCCAAAGGGAGCAGACUGUAAAUCUGCCGGCGUAUGCCUUCGAAGGUUCGAAUCCUUCUCCCUCCACCU